RNAcentral lists this ribosomal RNA (377 nucleotides) under uncultured bacterium. Its description in RNAcentral is "bacterial SSU rRNA". It matches the Rfam family "Bacterial small subunit ribosomal RNA", at positions 30 to 406 of the family's 1533-position model. The record is from RNAcentral.
AUUGAACGCUGGCGGCGUGCUUAACACAUGCAAGUCGUGCGGUAACAGGCGUAGCAAUACGUGCUGACGAGCGGCGAACGGGUGCGUAAUACAUGGGAAUCUGCCCUUUAGUGGGGAAUAACCCGGCGAAAGCCGGGCUAAUGCCGCAUAAGAUCUUCGGAUGAAAGCGGGGGAUCGUAAGACCUCGCGCUGAUGGAUGAGCCCAUGUCGGAUUAGCAGUUGGUGAGGUAACGGCUCACCAAGGCGACGAUCCGUAGCUGGUCUGAGAGGACGGCCAGCCACACUGGGACUGAGACACGGCCCAGACUCCUACGGGAGGCAGCAGUGGGGAAUAUUGGACAAUGGGGGAAACCCUGAUCCAGCGACGCCGCGUGUGU